RNAcentral lists this unclassified non-coding RNA (936 nucleotides) under Hevea brasiliensis (rubber tree). The record is from RNAcentral. Lineage: Eukaryota; Viridiplantae; Streptophyta; Magnoliopsida; Malpighiales; Euphorbiaceae.
AGCCAGUUCUUCCUCGUUCCAUUGCCUCAAUCCCUUGCUCAGCCUCUUCAAUAAAUCAACAUUAACCUCACGCACCCAUGUUGGUGUGCAAGUCACCAUCAAGCUCAAAAACCCAGAUACAUAUGCUCGUGCAGUGGCCCAAUCACAACCAAGCGAUAUUUUCCCAUCUAGUGCACUUGCAAGAAAUUCUAAGUGAGACCCAAGGACCUUUGGCCGUCGUUUUGAUGGCGGUGAUUGUGAGUCCACACCCCAUGCAAAUGUCCCACAAAGCAUCACAAGGAAUGCAAGUGCAUAACCUCCAAGCAUAUUAACUACACCUCCAGAUUCUCCACCUUCCUGCUCUGACCCAUGGGCUGAUAUAAACCAAGAGGGUAAAGUUUCUUGGAUUAAAGAUUGAACCAAACUCAACCCACCUGAUAUCCAAACUAAAGAAGCUCCAAGUGAUGCUGCAAGCUUGACACGCAUCAUUGCUGCAGCAAGAGAAACUUGACCAUAUCUCAUCCCAUACUUCGCCCUCUUUAAUUUCUCCACGGUCUCUCUAGGUAACCCACUGUUUGCAAUAUCUUCAACAGAAUGCAUUAGAAUAGAGAGAAUUUUUUCUGUCAUGAACAUGACAUCUCUGAUAGAUCGAUGCACUCGUAAGUAGAGAAUUCCAGGGGCAACAGCCGAGAUCCCACCAGAUAAGUGAGAGCCAAAGCCAUGGCCUAGAAGGGCACCAACACCUCCAUUACUAGAAAUGUGAGGGGGGCUGAAACCAAGAGUAGAAGUGAAGCAACUCUUCAGUAGCUGAACUACAGCAUCACCAUUGUGGUGGAAGACAGUGCCAGAAGCAGAGAACACAAGGAAGUCACUCCAACGCUUUACCUUCUGCGCCCAUAAGGCAGAUAUGAUGGGCAUGCAUGGCCAAGGGCAACCAGCAGCAAGGGCAUUCAAGGC